Molecule: long non-coding RNA, 840 nt
Organism: Amphiprion ocellaris (clown anemonefish)
Lineage: Eukaryota; Metazoa; Chordata; Actinopteri; Pomacentridae
Source: Ensembl
AUAAAUGAGAGACACCUGUGAGCUGAGCUGCUGCUAACAAAGGAAGCAUGAAGAACAAUAGAGAGAAGUGGCAAAAAAGACAACCAGUAGACUUUUACAAGAACUGUACAGCUUCUGGUCAACUUUGAUCCAGAACUAGCUUGUUUAGUGAACAUUUGCUGGUCCAUGUGGAACUGAAGGAUAUCAGCUGAUCUCAGGAGCAGGACUGGAUAUGCAUCAUACAUCAGACAGCUGCCUGGAGGUGGAGUCUCUGAACUUUUUGAUCGCACCUUGAAGUACAGCAGUCAUCUCAGCUCUUUCCAAGUACAUUCAGUCAUUUAGUAGAGGAGUUUUUUGUCUGGCCGCAGACCAGAUGGUAUGUUUGGAAGACACCAGACACCACAACCCCGCUGUGAGGCAUGGAGGUGGCAGCAUCAUGAUGUGGACAUGCUUCAUGGUGGCACACCAUGGAAGGGGAAAUCCUGGAGGAUAACCUGGUAAACAUCUAAGAACUGUAACUCGAGAAAUGCCCCUGUUCGUAAAAUAACUGAAAUCUUACUUCUCUAUUAAUCUUUAAUUCAUUUUAGUUUUCAGUUCCUUCAUUUUGCCUGUUUUUUUCUUUAUUUGGCAAAGAUUUAGCCAUUUUGUUGACCUGCACAGUUGUAAUAUUCCUCAAUUUCCAUAAAGUAAUGAGAUGAUUCAUUCAUUUAUUCCAUCAUGUAUAUUUGCAUAAUGUCAUUUAGCCACAAGUAACAUUAGCCAACAUUAUGUUAAUUGCUAACUUACUAAUAGACUAAACAACUGCCUGCAUGGCUGCUGUAACUUAAGUUAUGAGAUUAAUUCAAUCAUGGGAUAACCCAG